UCUUUUCCCGUCUGAACAGCUGUUUAAGUGGGGGAAGGUGAAGAGAGAGACGCUAGCCCCUGGAGGUCACUUGUUUGAAAGGAGAGAUCACGGGGUCCCAGCAGGGCGCUGCCCUGUUCGAGGUGGGCACCUGGGUUCUGAGGGCGUCUGGAUGGGACGGGACAGGCUGGAGCUCGGUGAGGAGGUGCAGGGGAGCUUAGGUUUGGGUCGUGUGUGGCAUUUAAGAUUAAUAUGUUGUCAGUGACGAAAGCAACACUGUUUACAUAAAAGCCAUUUUUAUAAUUCUCACCAGUUAGAAGCAAAAGGAAGGGACGUGAGUUUUGCAUGGAGGCGCGUCAGUGAAGGGCGGGCGUCCGUUCCUGUGCCGUCUUUGUUGCUGCACGUGGGCUGUGCCUCUGGCCGCUCCAGCACCCAGCUGUGCCCCGGGGUGGGGUGCCUGUCAGUUGGGGCAGGAGGAAGAUCCCCGGAGAGCCUGGGAGAAAAGGUUCUGUGUUCUCGGCUGGGGCUCACCCUCAUAUUUAUGAUCUUAAUUUAUACAGCACUCACCGUGGAGCAUAUGUCUGCUGUGUUGCUAUGUACAUAGUCCAUGUCAGGGGCUGUAAAUAAGUGGUUCUGUGUGUAAAUAAAAUAAGCCUGUUUUGGA
This is a long non-coding RNA of Pipistrellus kuhlii (Kuhl's pipistrelle), 643 nucleotides long. RefSeq lists it as uncharacterized. The transcript is spliced from 2 exons. The record is from RefSeq and is a predicted model, not a curated record. Lineage: Eukaryota; Metazoa; Chordata; Mammalia; Chiroptera; Vespertilionidae.